Molecule: transfer RNA, 73 nt
Filed under: Vicugna pacos (alpaca)
Lineage: Eukaryota; Metazoa; Chordata; Mammalia; Artiodactyla; Camelidae
Description: tRNA-Ala (AGC) (tRNA-Ala-AGC-188-1)
Rfam family: tRNA
About the family: Transfer RNA (tRNA) molecules are approximately 80 nucleotides in length.
Source: RNAcentral
GGUGGGUAUAGCUCAGUGGUAGAGUGCAUGCUUAGCAAGCAUGAGGUCCUGGGUUCAAUCCCCAGUGCCUCCA